GACGAACGCUGGCGGCGUGCUUAACACAUGCAAGUCGAACGGAGAGGCCCUGCUUUUGUGGGGUGCUCGAGUGGCGAACGGGUGAGUAACACGUGAGUGACCUGCCCUUGACUUUGGGAUAACUUCAGGAAACUGGGGCUAAUACCGGAUAGGAGCUCCUGCUGCAUGGUGGGGGUUGGAAAGUUUCGGCGGUUGGGGAUGGACUCGCGGCUUAUCAGCUUGUUGGUGGGGUAGUGGCUUACCAAGGCUUUGACGGGUAGCCGGCCUGAGAGGGUGACCGGCCACAUUGGGACUGAGAUACGGCCCAGACUCCUACGGGAGGCAGCAGUGGGGAAUAUUGCACAAUGGGCGGAAGCCUGAUGCAGCAACGCCGCGUGCGGGAUGACGGCCUUCGGGUUGUAAACCGCUUUCGCCUGUGACGAAGCGUGAGUGACGGUAAUGGGUAAAGAAGCACCGGCUAACUACGUG
RNAcentral lists this ribosomal RNA (468 nucleotides) under uncultured bacterium. Its description in RNAcentral is "partial 16S ribosomal RNA". It matches the Rfam family "Bacterial small subunit ribosomal RNA", at positions 28 to 507 of the family's 1533-position model. The record is from RNAcentral.